GCCACAAUGAAUCGAAUGCAAUUAGCUGUUGUGGCUCUCUAGCGCUGGUUUAAUCGCUCCACUGGACAAGUUUUGCAAUAAAAGCUUGACGAUGCAUAAAGAGUGUUCUGUUUAUUGUGUCGUGUUGAUCGCAUGAUAAUUAUUCUGUCAUUUUUGAAGUUACGAACUUGCCCAGCGAACUUGAUCCAUAGAAAGUAAUGGCAUCUUGUUGUAUGACCUUUGGGUUAGCACAGAUUAGAGAUUCGCUGACGACUUUGUUUUGGUCGCCAAGGGGCCAAAAGAUUCGUGAAUGAACCCUGUUAUCAGUGCCCCCACUAAACGCAGUUUUGCCAAGUUCUUUGAUAUGGAGAGACACGACCAUCAUAUGCUGAUAACACCUGCGCACAGCCAACUAAAUUUAAACAUGAUUAUCAGUGGCCGCUUGUUCUUCUUUCCCCGACUGCCAAUUAAUUCGAGGGCUGCGCUGAGCAAACCUGAAUGACCUUCUGCUCCGAUCAGCUCCAGAAUGGGCAUCUAUAUGUUGCGGCACUAUGCCCACGACCUUGGUCAUGGAUAAGCUGAAAUUUGGGGCAUCUGUUGGGUGUAUGACAUGGUUUCAUUGAGAUAACUUAGGGUAUAUCUGUAAAGGCUCUGUAAAAACUAAAGAAUGAGUUGUAUAUGAUAUUUAUAUGUGUCAUUUCCUAUGUCAACUGUCGACUGCUAGUACCAAUUAUUCGUGUUAACCUGUC
Molecule: long non-coding RNA, 728 nt
Organism: Drosophila erecta
Lineage: Eukaryota; Metazoa; Arthropoda; Insecta; Diptera; Drosophilidae
Exons: 3
Source: RefSeq, a predicted model, not a curated record